RNAcentral lists this ribosomal RNA (269 nucleotides) under uncultured prokaryote. RNAcentral's name for it is "partial 16S ribosomal RNA". It matches the Rfam family "Bacterial small subunit ribosomal RNA", at positions 524 to 792 of the family's 1533-position model. The record is from RNAcentral.
UACGUAGGGGGCUAGCGUUAUCCGGAAUUACUGGGCGUAAAGAGCGCGCAGGUGGUUGAUUAAGUCUGAUGUGAAAGCCCACGGCUUAACCGUGGAGGGUCAUUGGAAACUGGUCGACUUGAGUGCAGAAGAGGGAAGUGGAAUUCCAUGUGUAGCGGUGAAAUGCGUAGAGAUAUGGAGGAACACCAGUGGCGAAGGCGGCUUCCUGGUCUGUAACUGACACUGAGGCGCGAAAGCGUGGGGAGCAAACAGGAUUAGAUACCCCGGUA